GACGAACGCUGGCGGCGUGCCUAAUACAUGCAAGUCGAGCGAAGUUUUUCUGGUGCUUGCACUAGAAAAACUUAGCGGCGAACGGGUGAGUAACACGUAAAGAACUUGCCUCAUAGACUGGGACAACUAUUGGAAACGAUAGCUAAUACCGGAUAACAGUAUUUCUCGCAUAAGAGAUAUUUAAAAGUUGGUUAUGCAAACACUAUGAGAUGGCUUUGCGGUGCAUUAGCUAGUUGGUGGGGUAAAGGCCCACCAAGGCGACGAUGCAUAGCCGACCUGAGAGGGUGAUCGGCCACACUGGGACUGAGACACGGCCCAGACUCCUACGGGAGGCAGCAGUAGGGAAUCUUCCGCAAUGGGCGAAAGCCUGAUGGAGCCACACCGCGUGCGUGAAGAAGGAUUUCGGUUCGUAAAGCUCUGUUGUUAGGAAAGAAUGGCUGUGUAGUAACUCUACAUGUUAGAGACGGUACCUAACCAGAAAGCCACGGCUAACUACGUG
Molecule: ribosomal RNA, 499 nt
Filed under: uncultured bacterium
Lineage: Bacteria
Description: partial 16S ribosomal RNA
Rfam family: Bacterial small subunit ribosomal RNA
Source: RNAcentral